ACGGAAGGCAGCAGUGGGUAAUAUUGCACAAUGGGCGCAAGCCUGAUGUAGCGAUGCCGCGUGAGGGAAGAAGGUUUUCGGAUUGUAAACCUCUGUCAUCGGGGACGAUAAUGACUGUACCCGAGAAGGAAGCUCCGGCUAACUACGUGCCAGCAGCCGCGGUAAUACGUAGGGAGCGAGCGUUAUCCGGAAUUACUGGGUGUAAAGGGAGUGUAGGCGGUACUGUAAGUCAGAUGUGAAAUAUGCCGGCUCAACUGGCAGACUGCAUUUGAAACUGCGGUUCUUGAGUGAAGUAGAGGUAAGCGGAAUUCCUAGUGUAGCGGUGAAAUGCGUAGAUAUUAGGAGGAACAUCAGUGGCGAAGGCGGCUUACUGGGCUUUAACUGACGCUGAGGCUCGAAAGCGUGGGGAGCAAACAGGAUUAGAUACACUGGUA
This 434-nucleotide ribosomal RNA is filed under the name uncultured Ruminococcus sp. RNAcentral describes it as "partial 16S ribosomal RNA". It matches the Rfam family "Bacterial small subunit ribosomal RNA", at positions 341 to 792 of the family's 1533-position model. Lineage: Bacteria; Bacillati; Bacillota; Clostridia; Eubacteriales; Oscillospiraceae. The record is from RNAcentral.